RNAcentral lists this ribosomal RNA (252 nucleotides) under uncultured bacterium. RNAcentral describes it as "partial 16S ribosomal RNA". It matches the Rfam family "Bacterial small subunit ribosomal RNA", at positions 524 to 776 of the family's 1533-position model. The record is from RNAcentral.
UACAGAGGAUGCGAGCGUUAUCCGGAUUUAUUGGGUUUAAAGGGUGCGUAGGCGGGAUGCCAAGUCAGCGGUAAAAAUGCGGUGCUCAACGCCGUCGAGCCGUUGAAACUGGCGUUCUUGAGUGGGCGAGAAGUAUGCGGAAUGCGUGGUGUAGCGGUGAAAUGCAUAGAUAUCACGCAGAACUCCGAUUGCGAAGGCAGCGUACCGGCGCCCAACUGACGCUGAAGCACGAAGGCGUGGGUAUCGAACAGG